AACCCUUAAGAGUUCUCUCUCUCUAACUUGGUCUCUCACCUUCUCUCUCACUCUCUCCCACCCCUCACCCUCUCUUCGUUCUAAAUAAGGCAUAGCCUCCUAGCUUUGUCGUGAAGCCCAGCCACCACCCCCAUGAUGAUGGUUCCAAACCUCUCAUCCUUUCUCUCUCUAAACCCAAGCCAAACACUUCAUAUUUAUCUGAUCUCUCUCUCUCUAAAACCUAGAACUCAACUUCUCAAUCUACUACCUAGGAGAGCCCCAAACGACACGUGGAACAUGAAUCGGUGUUGUGGAGGUUAAAGGCUUCACGGAUCUGCCAAGAACCUUGGCCAUGGUGACACAUGAGAUCAUAUGUGGUGGCGCGUGAGCUCGUGAACAGUACAAGUAUGACAAAGGAUCCUGCGUUGUGAUUGCUGGAGUUGAUUACUAUGUGAUUGCCGCCGAUACUCCCAUGUCCUCCGGUUACAAUAUUCUCACCCAUGAGUACUCCAAAAUUUGCAAAUUGUAAGCCCCUCCCCUUUUUCUUUUGUUCUCUAUUUAUUUCUUUGAAGUGUGGUGUUAGGUUUUUUUUUUUUUUGAUUAGAAAGUUUUAGGAUUGGUGGUUUACUGUUUCCGGCUAUUAUAGUAUUCUAGGUUUUGAGCAUCAAAUCAAAUUUUAGGACUUUUGCAUAAAAGAAAGAAAAAAAAAAUUGAAACUUGUUUGCUGCUUGUAUUGACUCAGAAUGUUACUUUUUGUAUCUUAUUGAAAGUGUAAGUUUUGGAUUUGGGGUGGACAACUUGGGUGAAUUGUUGUUUAAGGUGGAAAAAAUGUAUUCAAAAUUGAGAAUUUUGGCCAAAAUUCUAUGUCCUUAUUUUUCAUUGUCUAUGUUUAUUAAGUUAGUAAAUUUUUUGGAGAAAUAGUUGGAAGUUUGAGAUUGUUUUGGUUUUUGAAGGAGGUGGAAGUCAAGAAAUUUUAACGAAGUUAGGUUAGGCGAGAAGAAAAAAAAUAAAGGAAGGCUAUCACUUGAAAGCUACUUGGAAACCGUUCAUAUGGGUUGCCUUUUUGGCAUAAAGAGCAAAUCAGGAACUGGGUUUACCUUAAAUUGUUUGGCCUUCUUGUUUAACUAGACUCCUAGACAUAAUUAUGACUCGAACAUGUGUUUGCUUUAAAGAAAAAAUUAUUUUAGUAUCAUAUUGCUCAGUCAUAGAUUUUGGUGUGGAUUUGUACUAUCUAGGAGUUCAUUUGUUUAGUAUUGGAAGAAAUUUGGUUGUUACUACUUUCCCAUAAUUGAUGUCUUGUGCCAGUUCAGGAUAGAAGGUAAUUGAUGAGUCCUUGAGUUGAUGGAUGAACAAAAAACUAAAAGAAAUUUAUCUCUGGGAUUUCUAUGCUUAUGUUAACAUCUUGAUUAUCCUAAAUCUAUUGAAUGUGUAAAGCAAUUGGAGCGGGUGGAAAAAACAAAAAACAAAUAAAAAAAAAAAAACGAUGUCCUUGUGUUCAUCUUUAUCUUUAUCUUUAUCUUUAUCUAUUGUCUCUCAAAUCUUUCUCUUUCUUAUCAAAAACCAAACCCUUGAGCUUCAAUGGCGUCUUAGGCUCACCUGCUAUAUAUUGAUUCAAAGCCUUCGUUGAUGGUCCCGACUUUCUCUCUGUCGAUUGUUUGCUAGAUUUGAUUCUUUUGAAAGGUCCACCUAUUUUGGGCCCUUCUUUAAUUUGGGACAGGGAUAUCAAAGGUGCCAAUUUGCUUGUUGAUGCAUCAGGGGUGGUUAAGCUAGCAGAUUUCGAGGUAGCUAAGCAUUAUUAAGUGAUGAAGAUUUGAUCAAGACAACUAAAAGUCACAUGAGAAGCACAUGCAAGAAGGUGAAGAGUCAAGCCAACUGUCCAGAGAGUAUAGUAUGUCAAUUGGCUAACUCGCGACUCGGGUCGCCACUUGCAUCAGUUGCAAGUGAGUUGCGAGAUGCCCCUGUUUUGCUAGAACACAUGACCUUUCAUAUUCUCCUCACACAUACUAUAUAUACCCUCAUUACCCAUAUAAAUUGUAGAGAGCCUAUUGAGAGAAAAACUCUAAGAAAGGUUUUUACAACACACCCACCUUAUUAGAGAGAGAGCUACUCAUUUUUAGAGAGAAAUCUUUAUAGUCUCUUCUCCUCCCCCUCCCAUUGUUAUACCC
This is an RNA transcript of Quercus lobata, 2144 nucleotides long. RefSeq lists it as uncharacterized. The record is from RefSeq and is a predicted model, not a curated record. Lineage: Eukaryota; Viridiplantae; Streptophyta; Magnoliopsida; Fagales; Fagaceae. The transcript has 5 exons.